CGUUCGCGGCUGGACUAUUUAUUACCCUUGUCUUUUGCGCACUUGUUGUUUCCUGGGCGGGUUCGCUCGCCACCAGGACCACAAUAUAAACCUUUUUUAUGCAGUUGCAAUCAGCGUCAGUAUAACAAAUGUAAAUCAUUUACAACUUUCAACAACGGAUCUCUUGGUUCUGGCAUCGAUGAAGAACGCAGCGAAAUGCGAUACGUAGUGUGAAUUGCAGAAUUCAGUGAAUCAUCGAAUCUUUGAACGCACAUUGCGCCCUUUGGUAUUCCAAAGGGCAUGCCUGUUCGAGCGUCAUUUGUACCCUCAAGCUUUGCUUGGUGUUGGGCGUUUUUGUCUUUGGCCCGCCAAAGACUCGCCUUAAAAUGAUUGGCAGCCGGCCUACUGGUUUCGCAGCGCAUCACAUUUUUGCGCUUGCAAUCAGCAAAAGAGGACGGCAAUCCAUCAAGACUCCUUCUCACGUUUCACCUCGGAUCAGGUAGGGAUACCCGCUGAACUUAAGCAUAUCAAUAAGCGGAGGAAAA
RNAcentral lists this ribosomal RNA (524 nucleotides) under Curvularia spicifera. Its description in RNAcentral is "eukaryotic LSU rRNA". The stretch from base 144 to 297 matches the Rfam family "5.8S ribosomal RNA". The record is from RNAcentral. Lineage: Eukaryota; Fungi; Ascomycota; Dothideomycetes; Pleosporales; Pleosporaceae.